CUAAGGCUCCAGAGGAAGCCACGGCUAACUCUGUGCCAGCAGCCGCGGUAAUACAGAGGCGGCAAGCGUUGUUCGGAAUUAUUGGGCGUAAAGAGCACGUAGGCGGCCUUGCAAGUCAGUUGUGAAAGCCUUCCGCUUAACGGAAGAAUGCCAGCUGAUACUACGGGGCUUGAGUACGGGAGGGGAGAGUGGAAUUUCUGGUGGAGCGGUGAAAUGCGUAGAUAUCAGAAGGAACGCCGGCGGCGAAAGCGACUCUCUGGCCCGAAACUGACGCUGAGUGUGCGAAAGCUAGGGGAGCAAACGGGAUUAGAUACCCCGGUAGUCCUAGCCGUAAA
RNAcentral lists this ribosomal RNA (335 nucleotides) under uncultured Planctomycetales bacterium. RNAcentral's name for it is "bacterial SSU rRNA". It matches the Rfam family "Bacterial small subunit ribosomal RNA", at positions 473 to 806 of the family's 1533-position model. The record is from RNAcentral. Lineage: Bacteria; Pseudomonadati; Planctomycetota; Planctomycetia; Planctomycetales.